Molecule: long non-coding RNA, 1402 nt
Organism: Gorilla gorilla gorilla (western lowland gorilla)
Lineage: Eukaryota; Metazoa; Chordata; Mammalia; Primates; Hominidae
Exons: 3
Source: RefSeq, a predicted model, not a curated record
CCCCUGCUCUGUAUCAUCAGCUUACCCUACCUUUGAGAAAACUCGUUAACAGUCCUUCCCUGCUGUUCAAGUUCUUUCCGCCCUCCCCCCCGCCCCCCCUUUAGUUUCCUUCACUGGGCUUGAGCUGGUAGACCUGUGGAUUUCUAAUUCCAUCCCCGUCUUUUUUUUGACCUGUACUAACAGCACCAUGUGUUAUACAAGUUCAACUUCUUACCGUGGCCAGCACUGGCCUGAUUUCUUCUGCAGGCUCAUUUUAUGCUCAUUAUUUUACCAUGAGCUCUCUGCUCCAGGCUUCUGAACUUCCAUUAUUUCUCCAGAUCUAAUGCUGGGCCUUCAUACAUGGCUGUGAACAGUUUCCCUUAGGAAGAGAAGCCCACCAGAAUCAUGGAAAGCAGAAUCUUCCAACAUAUUUGGAGAAGAAGAUCCGAGCAGAGCAAGGGGUGGGCUGUGGCAUAUAUGUACAGGAAGGACCUGGGACUCUUCCUACCUGCUGUGACAGCUGAGCUCCUCUUUAGCUGACGGCAUGCUGAGGCCUGUGCACUGCGGAGGUGUGGGGGCCAAGUUUAAACCCUGCUUCCUCUGCCUAUUUGCUGUGUGUGGUCCAACAUCAAUGACUGAACUUCUCUGCCCAAUUUGUUUAUCUGUAAAAGGGGAACUUUGAGACCUCCUAGAAUUUCUCACAGGUUAAAGGUGAGGUCUGAAUACUGCUGGCUCUAUGCCUAGUGCAUAGCUGGCCCUCAGGUCAUUGGUCACUUUUCCCUCUCAGAGGGGGUCACAGGCACUUGGGCCACCUCAAUGUGCCAUACUUGUCCUCGAUCUGCCAGGGUUCUGACCAGUGGAGACAUGUCUAAUGAUCACUGUCCUGUGGGAAGUAAGAAAGGGCUCCAUUUAUCUCUGCAAAUCCUCUGUCUCCCAGAGCAGGCCCAUCUGGGAAAGGACUGUGCCCUGAAUCUAAACUUUGGGACAUGGAUAUUGAUAGUUCCUUGAGGGAUAGAAGUGGGCGUGAAGAACAAACUUCAGGGCAUGGAUAUUGAUGGUUCCUUGAGGGAUAUAAGUGGGCGUGAAGAACAAACUUUGGGACAUGGAUAUUGAUAGUUCCUUGAGGGAUACAAGUGGGUGUGAAGAACAAACUUUGGGGCAUGGAUAUUGAUAGUUCCUUGACGGAUACGAGUGGGCGUGAAGAACAGACGAUGAAACUGUUCACUUACCCAGAUGCGUGGACCCAACUCUAGGUCUGCUGCACAGACCCAGAACCACCCCAGAUUUUGCUCAGGAUGACUUACCAUAUGGGAAUAAGAAGAGCAGGAAAUUUUACUUCAUGGCUUGAGUGAAAUAAAAGAGGAAGCAGCCACCCUUAUUCAUGCUUUUAAGACAUAGUUAUCUUGUUCACCAUUAAAAUGUA